ACCGACGUUGGAAAUUUAGAUAGGCAGAACGGAUGUAUUAUAAAAAUCCGAUACUGAUUGGAAUUUUUGCGAAAAAUAUCUACGUAUUAUUGGAAAAAUCUGAAUUCAAAGAGGAGUAUAUUCGUUUAUUUUUUCUUCGCAUUUUUUUUAGUCUUUUCGAAUGUAGUAGAUAGUAAACUGUGUUUGUAGAAUGUAGAAUGUGAACUGUAAUGUAGUAAUUAAUUGUGAAAUUACAAUGCACUAUGUGAUAUUGAAAAAAUUGCACGGAUUAUUAUAUGUAUGAUGUAUAAUAUAUAAAUGUUAAAUUCAAAAAGCUGUAUAUCCAUUACGAACACGCGCGUCAAACUCUUAAAUAGGUUUCAUUUAUACGUGAUUACUUAUAAUCAAUUAUAAUAAGCUAAAAUUCUAUAAACGAAACGGCAUUUUACUUUCAUUAACUGUUUUUCGUGAAUAUAAAAACGAACGAAAAAAUUUGCGGUAGGUUACUGUAUAUAUUAUAUAUUAUACAGUUGAUCAGGCGCAGUUGACACCCUAAAUUAUUUACUUCCUUAACGGUCAACAUGAGAUCGGCGCCU
This 575-nucleotide unclassified non-coding RNA is filed under the name Athalia rosae (coleseed sawfly). RNAcentral's name for it is "misc RNA ENSAEAG00005004086.1". Lineage: Eukaryota; Metazoa; Arthropoda; Insecta; Hymenoptera; Athaliidae. The record is from RNAcentral.